Molecule: long non-coding RNA, 738 nt
Organism: Hyaena hyaena (striped hyena)
Lineage: Eukaryota; Metazoa; Chordata; Mammalia; Carnivora; Hyaenidae
Exons: 3
Source: RefSeq, a predicted model, not a curated record
CUUAGUAACCGUGGAAUCCCCCUGAGCUCAGGAACCAGGCGCCUGGGCGGGCAGAAUGACAUCUGGGAACAGUUGGAGGGGGAGGGCGGGCUCUCCCCACAGUCCCUGGCACACCCCCGUCGCGACGCGCCCGUGACACCUUGCGGAGCCUGCGGCUCAGCCCAUUCUCGCCCGCUAAGCCGCGCGGAUCGCUGGGCGAGGGCCCGGCACUGAGCACCUUGCUAGGAGCCGUGGGGGCGGGGGGCCGGCAUCAGGGUUUCACCCAGUCAAGGGAGAGCCAGAUGACUGGAAAGAAGACAAGAUGAGAACAGGCCAGAGCUGGGUUGAACCCGGCCAGUGCCACCACCUAGCUGUGUCACCCCAGCCAAUUUUUUAACGUCUCCCAUGCUCCGUCCUUCCUUCAUUCCCCAGCACUGACUGAGCACCUCCAGCCUCAUCGUGACGGGUGCUCCAGGAAUUCUGGAAAGGCUUUAUGUGGGAUCCUUCUCAACUAGAAGCUUGGUGUUCUGCCCUUCCUUUCAUAACUUCCGGGCCAGGAUACUGGUCACCAAUAUGCAUUCAUUUAAGAUUUAUACUAGUUGAGUGCUGAGAUGAUUUGAGGCACCUUUCAGAUUAAAAAGUAAAAAUUACAGCAUUGAAGAAUAAAGCAGAACUGACUCCUUCUAAAGAACCCAGAAAGAGUUGCUACUCUCAGGCACCUGAAUUGGUCAGAACACACGGAGGUAAUAAGGUAAUAAA